CCCUUAGAUGUUCUGGGCUGCACGCGUGCUACAGUGGCGUUUCCAGCAAGUCUGCGAACCCGAGAGGGCCAGCGGAUCUUCGAAUUGGCGUCGUGAUCGGGACAGUCGAUUGCAAUUAUUUGACUCAAACGAGGAAUUCCUUGUAAUCGCGAUUCAUCAUAUCGCGCUGAAUACGUCCCUGCCCUUUGUACACACCGCCCGUCGCUCCUACCGAUUGAGCGAUCCGGUAAAUGUUUUGGAUUGGUGCCGGGGCGGCUAGCUGCCGGUCGCUACGAAAUUUUGUGAACCUUAUCGCUUAGAGGAAGGAAAAGUCGUAACA
RNAcentral lists this ribosomal RNA (319 nucleotides) under uncultured eukaryote. RNAcentral describes it as "partial 18S ribosomal RNA". It matches the Rfam family "Eukaryotic small subunit ribosomal RNA", at positions 1470 to 1796 of the family's 1831-position model. The record is from RNAcentral.